GAAUCUUUAUCGCAUUUCAGAAACAGUAGCACAGAACAUUAUUUUGAAAAGAAAAAAAGUAGGAAAAAAUGCAUAGCUGCAGUUGGUGAGAGUUGGGGACAUGUUAAUGGCUAAGUGCAACACGACUGUGCAAGGACAGAAGUUGCAGGGACAAUGGUGUAUUGCUGAAGGUUUGCUUAGACAUCGCAGAAAUGAGGAUAAUCAGUGAGAUGGACCUUUGGUCUCACUUCUCAAUGAAAGUUAGGAACUGUUCAGCAGUGUACUACAUUCAACAGUAUAGCAGAUGCUUUUAAACUGGAAGAAGAAAUGACACUAUGAAAGCUGAAGCACAAUACAGGUCAUGUAUUCUGGUGACUUAGGCUUGCUUUUCUUUAUUUCUUUGCAUGCCAGACACCAUGAACUGUACACGAUUUUAAGUUUGGGGUAACAGUGAACUUAACUGUUCUGUAAUCCAGUCAUGACAUUAUCACUCUGUGGUUUGCUGAUUUGCCACUAUUUCUGUUGUUCCAGCCACUAUCAUCAUUUCAAGAAUGUAUGGUUUAGCACAUAUGCUUUGAAGUCAUUAGUAGGUCUGAAAAUACAUACUUGAAUAAGCCAGCGCUGUGUUGCACAAGUAUGAACUUCCUGUCAUCUGAACUGUGGUGUGGCCCCAGAAUGUUCAGUUUAACAAUGUUUCACUGUAAACCGAACAUACGCUGUACAUUUAUCUGUAUUAAAUUAAAAACAAAAACAAAAAAAAGACACAUUUGUAAGCAUUCACAAACAAGUAACAGAUCUGAUUGAAUAUAUCUGAAAAGAUGUGGGAUGAUCAACCUCAAAAGCAGAUAUCUGACAGUAUUUCUGAAGAAAGAAAGAGAAAAAAUGAGUAGAGAGUAAAAGAAAGUAUUUAAUACUCCCCCCAAAUGUAUGGCAAGGAAAAAAUCCAUCUGUCAAAUUAAUAGGCAUGUGCUGGUUAAAGAAACUAAUUCCUCCCUGUGUCAAUACAUCUACCGUAGUUUCCCAUUAAACAUUUCUGUAAUUUCUUUCUUUCUUCACUAGAUGCAACAUACUUGACUGAAAAGUAGUUGCAAUAAUGUGAAGUUUUCUGGAAAGCCAUGAAUACCUCAUGUGAGUGGGAAUGCGUUCAGUUGCCUGUUGCUCCACAGCCAUUAAUCUGACGAAUAAAGAGUUUGCACAUGGGUUCACUCAGAGAGUUAACAUCUGAUUUUACAUGGAAAUAUUUGAAAGAAAAAGUACAGCAUUGCCUGAAGCCUGUUAGAAAGACUUUGGAGAUUUAUUUAAUGCAGUUUCUUGCUUUCAUUCCUGUUGUCUACUAAGAAACGUAUGCUGUUUUGAAAUAUAGAAUGAAAUAAGGGGAAACAAGUCAAACAAUGUUUCUAGCAGAGGAAAAAAAUGUCCCUUGCCUCAAACACAUAUAAAACCUGUUUUCAGUGCUCACCUUUUGCUCUACCACUUCAUUGCCAUCAACAUUAAACCAGAUGAUUUCUAACCUCUAUAUUGGUUCAUUUAAGACAAAACAAAGGGAUGGGAAUUACCAUCAUUUAUCAGUAUGAAACAGCAUCUUUUUUACUAGGAUAAUUAGAUCAAAUAACUCAGUUUAAAAUGAAAAAAAAUAUGAAUAUUUAGUAAUUGUAUUUUAUCUGUGGGGAUUAAUGCUUGAUGCAGGAGCUACCAGUAAGUUGAUUAUCUUAAGUUACAAGGUGAUACUGAGUAUCAGCCUGAACAAGGAUUGAGAAUGAUUUUGGUUUCCCAGUGGGUUCAGGAAGUCUUCAGACAUAAACUGCAUCCCUCUUUGCUGCUUCUCUUACUGCUUUUGAAUUUAUUAGUUAUUGGAUGUUGUUGGAAUAGGAGAGAAGGAGAAAUAGGUGGGACAUCUGCACUGACUGUCUGAAUAUGUUGGAUGAUCUAUUAGGAGUGAGGUUGUAGGUACACAGCUUCUGGCAGUUACUCCACCUUUUUCUUAUUGCAGCCUACUGGAUGUGGAUGAUUAGAGUAAUACUUGAUUGGGAUUGUCCUUGCUUCUUCCUGUACUGUUUUUAAGGACAUUAAAGAGACUUUUGAUUUCAUAUAAACUCUCAUGAAACCAGAAGUUGCAUUGUUUGGACAAAGUAUAUUAUAUGUUGGGUUCAUGAUGUCUACUUGGUUUGAAGAACAAAAUUAGAUGUGCCACUUUCAAAUACUUAUGUGUUCAGCAAAUUGCUCCUUAGGAUGCUAUCUCCCUCAAAUAUUUUACAAUUAAUUUUAGAAUCUUUUCUGACUUCAAUUAGUAAACUGUCUCAAGCUUGUUUUGAUAGAGAAAAGCUGCAUGCAGUCAUUUGUUCUGUGUCUUGUGUCUUUGGUCUGAGAUCCAAUGCUUGCUUUCUUCUGGGUGAAUUCAGCUCCUUAAUUGUUGUACGUACAAAGUUUUGUGCAUGUGUUCUUUGUUGCUGGUUUAGUGGUGGGUUUCCUGAGUGAAAUUUGCUGACUUUUACAGAUUUUCUAAUUACAGGUGGUUGACAACUAUAUUUAAAUGGCAGCUGGGUGUCUUUAGAAGAUAAACGUGCAAUGUUCACAUUCUGAACCACGCUCAGCUGCUUACGUGGCAUUGCCUACAGAGACCAGCUGUCCCACAUGCCUGCAAAUCAAGUCAGGACUCUUUAGAUGAUGGUUCAUGGCCCAAUAAGGAGAGCCAAAGCAAGAUAGUGGGAAAGUUUUCUUCUUUGGUUUUAGCUGCUCCUACAGACAGCAAAUACUGACUCAGCACAAAAGCCUCAGCUGCAUCAGAAGCCACUUAGAAUGUUUGGCUGUGACUUGUCAGCUAAGCAGCUUCCAUAAGAAGGCUUCCUUUUUUUGCCAAACUUCAUGUAUUGGAACAAAGCUUGUUUCAGGGCAGGCUUUGUCUUCGUUUAGCUUGGUUAUUAACUUAGGGAGAUUAAAAAAAGAUACAGACACCGGCUCUUCCAAAUGGGAGCUUUGUUGGCCUGCUGAAGGGUGAAAAAUAAAGCCACAGUGAAAAAGAAUGGAGAAUAAAAUAAAACUGUGAAACAAAACAGUGGUGGGGGAAAGAUCUUUAGCACUGAGCUGCAGUCACAUGCUAUACUGUAAUCUUUUAUAAGAUAAUGUUUCCAGAAGCCGUCUUUUCCAAAUGGGUUACUGUUGCAUUGAGAUGAGAUUACUCUUAUUUAGUUUCUUUCCCUCGUAUCUGAGGGAGAUACAGUAGGAAGGUAUAUUCAGAGUGUGGUUUUCUAAAGGGAUGUUGACACCCAUCAGCUGCUUGUGAAAGCUCUCAUUUGCACUUCCUUGAUUUAUAAAAGAAAGCAUUCUGUUCACAGAUUGCAUCCUGUUCUGUUAUUAAAUUGAACUGAUUUAAACCUGACCUUGCAGAAUUUGAAUGCUCCUGAAUGGCUACAAAUCAUGUACUUAAAGAGCAUUUUGAGGCUUAGAAGCUGCAGCUAUGCGAUUCAGUCUGUGAGCCUCCAGGUACCCAAGGAGAUGCUGCCCAGUUAAAUCAGAUUUCGUUACAGCUGUGAUCCAAGCCAUGAAGUGAAAACUCAAAGGAUAUAAAGAUUUGUGAUCGUUUGAUAGCUUUUGAAUCACCUGCAGUUCAGAUGCAUUUGAGUGUGGCUCAAGAAACUGUCUUGUGACUACAGAAGGCACCACAUGGGCUUGCAGUUUCCUUGGACUGCAGAAUCCUAAAGGGAGUGAAAUGACCCUAUUCAAUUCCCCAGUGCAGGUACACAGGAUUAAAGGAAACACCUGAUUUGCACAUCUGUUUCUUUUCAAAUGGAAAUGAAGUGGAGGAUAGUAAGCUUUUGAAUGCAGUGGUGCUGUUUGCUUGUUUGUUUCAAAACUCAGGCAAAAAAAAAAUGGGAAUAAUAAGACAUCCAGCAUCCAACUCUGUGUCGCAUUCAAGGAGAAGGAGUUUAGAUUCCUCUCCAAAAUGUAUGCUUUUCUGAGAAAGUCAGAAGAGUUAAUGAAAAAAGUCCCAAUUCUGAAGACUGAGAAACUCUGUGCAAAAUGAUCGUGCCGGUAUGUUUCAGCUGGCAAACAGCAGGUUGCCUGUAACCUCCAGGCUGUGUGUACACCGUGUCAGUCACUGCACAGAGCUGCAAUUUCACCUGAUCACACCGAUGCAGGUGAGAUGUUCACAACUGCCCUCUCCUCUAGUGUUAUUUCUGUGAAGACUCCACAUACCCUACACUGUUGUCACUGUUCUGCUUGCAGUAUCUAAUUUUUUUUGAAUGCUAAAUUGCACUACCAAAUUAGUUACUGAUCAAUGAAAGCUGAGAGAUUGGAUGUGAAAAAUUGGGGAAACUACUAUUUCAUGAGGUGUCUUGCUGAUUUUAAUCAUCUUCAAAAUUCACCCUUUAACCAGUGUGAUCCAAAUCAGUCUACCUUGUCACCAUUAGAGUACGAAACAUCUGUCUGAAGAAGGUCUUGACAUGUAAAGUGUUGUGCUGGACCUUCUCUCCACUCUGUAAAUCAUCCAGAACUGCUGCCGUGCAAAUGCAUUUAUAAUUCUCAUGAGCAAGGGCCAGUCAUAGACUUUGUCUUUUCUUUCAUGACCUGUUGGCUGAAAGUGCUCACACACCAGAUUCAAUUAAAGCUGCUCACAUCUUUUCUAGAUAUUUACUAGCAGAAUUGUAUUUGUCCCGAUGACUUUUGUCCUUUGUAAAGCAAAACACUGAGAAACUGGUUGAGAUAGGAGAAACAUGGAGCUUUAAAACAUUACAGUAGAGAGGGAAAAAAGUCAAGAUUUACAGCAUUCCGUCAGAAUUAAAACUGUUGCAUGUUUGGGCUUGAUAUUUUUACUUUGAAUUUAUAUUGAUACUGGAAGCAAAAUUUUAACAUUCACAUGUGUUCAUUUUCCAGUGAAAGGUAUUACAGAAAGAAGUUAAUUGUAAUAUACCUUUUCUGCAUAAAGAUAUGUACAGAAAACAGAACAAAAUAUGAGUUUGUUAUGAGUGAAAUCAUGAGACAUUUUUUACCCGUGACAGACAGAGAUUCCAUGUAAAAUGUGAAAAGUUUCAACCUCACUUAUCAGCAGCUUUUAGCAAUACAUAUUGUGUCAGUUUUGUGUUCGGUUCUUGGUUGAUUGGAGUAUGUUAGCCUGCAUAACUUGCCUAAAUGACAGCUGUAUGUGACAGAAUAGAAGUGAGCUAACAUUUGGCUUGUGUGAGCAUCAGUGAUGAUCUUUGUUUAUACUGCUAUAAAGCGAUGAGAAUGAGGGAAAGUAAUUAGGAAAGAUAAUAAACUUGAUAAUGGUGAGAUAUGUAAAGCUGUAGAUUAAUUUCACGUAUGAAGUGAGAGAAUCCCCAUUACUGAAGAAUUUUAAAAAUGAUUCCCCGGAAUAAAGAUCUGGAGGAGCUGCUCCCUCUAUGAAUUAUCUAGGAAAUUAGGGAGACUGCAGUGCCCUGUUGGAACCUGAGUGAGAUGUGAUACGUUAACUACUGUAAGUUCACACCCAAGUUUACUGAGGAGCGAUUUUCUUGGCAAUGCGUCAAAUUUUCCUUGUUGUGGUCCACCUAAGUAGAUGAUUUAUUAUGGUAAGUAUUUUUGAUGAUUGUUAAUUUUUAACUUGUAAUAACUUGAUUUUUUUUAAAGUACAAAUAUUUUGCUUUGUAGUAUAAUCUUAUGAUUGUACUUCUUUUAUAAGUUAUUUUCUAAUAGUGGUGUAGGUUUUUAAAAAUUACAUUAUGUGCUAUUGAGCACUUUUAUUGUUGUUGAGUAGACUGAUUGAUAAUUAUUUGGCAUUUUCUGUACUUGUACAUUUGUAUGUUUAAGAAGGUCUGACAAUGUCUACAUUAAACGUUGCAUCUUCAUUUUGACAAUGGUAGUACGUUUAAUAAGGUCCCAUGAUAAAUCCAAUGAAGUUGUACAGAAGUGUACUAAGCUGCCAUUUUACACUUGAGAAAGCUUAGCUAUAAAAUACAAUGUGACUUGCCUGAAGCCACACAGCAAGUCUUCGAGAAAGCCAGGGCGAGUUUGGAUUUAUACUUUCUAUCUUUUCUUUUCAAUAAAAGAGAUAUUUCUUCUUCCAAAUAAGGGAAAGCAUUUAGGGAGAAAUUAUCAUGGCUGUAUACUCCAGAAAAGAAAGAGAUGAGGCAGUAGUGCACAUUAGCAUGUAUGUUUGCAUUUGCAAG
Long non-coding RNA from Numida meleagris (helmeted guineafowl), 6122 nucleotides. RefSeq lists it as uncharacterized. The record is from RefSeq and is a predicted model, not a curated record. The transcript is spliced from 6 exons. Lineage: Eukaryota; Metazoa; Chordata; Aves; Galliformes; Numididae.